UUCCCUGUGGCUCAGUUGGUAGUGCAUGGUGUUUGCAACGCCAGGGUUGUGGGUUCGAUUCCCACGGGGGACC
Salmo salar (Atlantic salmon) is the source of this 73-nucleotide non-coding RNA. NCBI's taxonomy places the organism in Eukaryota, Metazoa, Chordata, Actinopteri, Salmoniformes, Salmonidae. The record is from Rfam.